AGAGCUGACUGCCAGUGGGGGAGGAUCUCUUCUGGAGAUCCACUCUGCUGGAGUUUUGUAAGCGAGCCCAGAAUACAGGUGUUGCAGCUCUGCUAUCAAAGACUGACACUUCUUCUGCAUGGCAAACUGCAGCUAUCCAAAACCUUUUGCUUCUGAUAUGUCUGAGUACACUCAAUGGUCAGUCUUGCAGAAUACAAAAAAACAUCUGUCUCUUCACAGCUUUCCUCUAGCAGAUGAUACAUGGAACCAACAGUCCACAAGACAGGCCUGUUUGUAUCCAAAAAUACAUCACAGCAAACAGGAAGAGAAAUUCCUUCAUGUCACAUCAGAAUCAUCUAUCAACCUAUCAUACGAGCAGACCAACAGCAAUCAGAAGGAAUUCAUGCAAGCUGUAUGCCCUUCUAUGACCAAGUGACUCACUGAGUGGAUGAGAGGAAGGCUGGUGAUGCAGUGUACCUAGACUUGACUGUCUCCCACUAUUUUCAUAUUCCUACACAGUCACAGUUUAUGAAAACUCUCCCCACUGCCCAACCACCCAAACUCAUUCCACAGCCCCAAUGUUUCCAGUAAUAAUGAAUAUUUCUUUGUAAAAUAUUCUCAAAUAUUAUGACCAUGAUAACAGACUUAGCUUGUUGGCCUAUUCA
Tympanuchus pallidicinctus (lesser prairie-chicken) is the source of this 644-nucleotide long non-coding RNA. RefSeq lists it as uncharacterized. NCBI's taxonomy places the organism in Eukaryota, Metazoa, Chordata, Aves, Galliformes, Phasianidae. The record is from RefSeq and is a predicted model, not a curated record. The transcript is spliced from 2 exons.